GCUAUCUUUGAGAACACGAAUACUAAAAUUGGAACAGUGCAGAGAAGAUUAGCAUGGCUCCUGUGCAAGAAUGAUGUGCAAAUUUGUGAAGUGUUCCAUAUUUUA
Saimiri boliviensis boliviensis (Bolivian squirrel monkey) is the source of this 105-nucleotide small nuclear RNA. The record is from RefSeq and is a predicted model, not a curated record. NCBI's taxonomy places the organism in Eukaryota, Metazoa, Chordata, Mammalia, Primates, Cebidae.